This 305-nucleotide ribosomal RNA is filed under the name uncultured bacterium. RNAcentral describes it as "bacterial SSU rRNA". It matches the Rfam family "Bacterial small subunit ribosomal RNA", at positions 335 to 656 of the family's 1533-position model. The record is from RNAcentral.
AGGCCUACGGGGGGCAGCAGUCGGGAAUAUUGCACAAUGGAGGAAACUCUGAUGCAGUGACACCGCGUAUAGGAAGAAGGUUUUCGGAUUGUAAACUAUUUUAGACAGGGAAGAAAAAAGACAGUACCUGUAGAAUAAGCUCCGGCUAACUACGUGCCAGCAGCCGCGGCAAUACGUAGGGAGCAAGCGUUAUCCGGAUUUAUUGGGUGUAAAGGGUGCGUAGACGGAGAAACAAGUUGGUUGUGAAAUCCCUCGGCUCAACUGAGGAACUGCAACCAAAACUAUUUCCCUUGAGUGUCGGAGAG